RNAcentral lists this ribosomal RNA (497 nucleotides) under uncultured bacterium. RNAcentral's name for it is "partial 16S ribosomal RNA". It matches the Rfam family "Bacterial small subunit ribosomal RNA", at positions 28 to 507 of the family's 1533-position model. The record is from RNAcentral.
GAUGAACGCUGGCGGCGUGCCUAAUACAUGCAAGUCGAGCGAACAGACGAGGAUCUUGCUCCUCUGACGUUAGCGGCGGACGGGUGAGUAACACGUGGAUAACCUACCUAUAAGACUGGGAUAACUUCGGGAGACCGGAUCUAAUACCGGAUAAUAUAUUGAACCGCAUGGUUCAAUAGUGAAAGACGGUUUUGCUGUCACUUAUAGAUGGAUCCGCGCCGCAUUAGCUAGUUGGUAAGGUAACGGCUUACCAAGGCAACGAUGCGUAGCCGACCUGAGAGGGUGAUCAGCCACACUGGAACUGAGACACGGUCCAGACUCCUACGGGAGGCAGCAGUAGGGAAUCUUCGGCAAAGGGCGAAAGCCUGACGGAGCAACGCCGCGUGAGUGAUGAAGGUCUUCGGAUCGUAAAACUCUGUUAUUAGGGAAGAACAAAUGUGUAAGUAACUAUGCACGUCUUGACGGUACCUAAUCAGAAAGCCACGGCUAACUACGUG